This 73-nucleotide transfer RNA is filed under the name Microbacterium caowuchunii. RNAcentral describes it as "tRNA-Arg". It matches the Rfam family "tRNA". From Rfam's summary of the family: Transfer RNA (tRNA) molecules are approximately 80 nucleotides in length. Lineage: Bacteria; Bacillati; Actinomycetota; Actinomycetes; Micrococcales; Microbacteriaceae. RNAcentral also lists the same sequence under 5 other names. The record is from RNAcentral.
CCCCCAGUAGCUCAGUGGAUAGAGCAGCGGCCUUCUAAUCCGCCGGUCAGGUGUUCGAAUCACCUCUGGGGGA